AAAGGAAUAGACGGGGGCCCGCACAAGCGGAGGAACAUGUGGUUUAAUUCGAUGAUACGCGAGGAACCUUACCCGGGCUCGAACGGUGCAUGAAUAUACGAGAGAUUGUAUAGUCCUUCGGGACAUGUAUCGAGGUGCUGCAUGGUUGUCGUCAGCUCGUGCCGUGAGGUGUCGGCUUAAGUGCCAUAACGAGCGCAACCCUUGUCAUUAGUUGCCAUCAGGUCAAGCUGGGGACUUUAAUGAGACUGCCACCGUAAGGUGUGAGGAAGGGGGGGAUGACGUCAAAUCAGCACGGCCCUUAUGUCCGGGGCGACACACGUGUUACAAUGGGAGGUACAGAGGGCAGCUAUCCGGUGACGGAAUGCUAAUCUCCAAAACCUUUCUCAGUUCGGAUUGGAGUCUGCAACUCGACUCCAUGAAGGUGGAUUCGCUAGUAAUCGCGCAUCAGCCAUGGCGCGGUGAAUACGUUCCCGGGCCUUGUACACACCGCCCGU
RNAcentral lists this ribosomal RNA (494 nucleotides) under uncultured bacterium. RNAcentral describes it as "bacterial SSU rRNA". It matches the Rfam family "Bacterial small subunit ribosomal RNA", at positions 903 to 1397 of the family's 1533-position model. The record is from RNAcentral.